This 1489-nucleotide long non-coding RNA is filed under the name Struthio camelus australis. Its description in RNAcentral is "lncRNA (ENSSCUG00000006894.1)". Lineage: Eukaryota; Metazoa; Chordata; Aves; Struthioniformes; Struthionidae. The record is from RNAcentral.
UGGCUGGGCCGCCGCCGCCGCGGCGUUCCCGAGGGAGCCAACCGCCUUCAGGCGGCGGUCAAACUGGCCCUCUUUCCGCGCUUCCCGACCCAAAUCGGAGCGCUGCUCGGCGGCUCAGUGGUUCUGUGAGCCGUGCCCCUGUGCCCGUCCCCGCUGCGCCAAGCCGAGAGGAUGCUCCUGACCAGAGCCAGUGCCAGCAAUGAUGGGCUUUUUUUUGUUGUUUUUUUUGUUGUUUUUUCUUUUUUUUUUCUCAAGAACAGCUUCGGGGCAAAUCCCCUGUCCCUGCGGGUUUCCGUCCCCCCACGCCUGCUCUGGCGCAGGCUCUCUUAUUUUUCAGACGUUGCAAAACAGGAUUGUUUCCCCUUUUUAAAAGCCAGGUUCCCUUUUCUUCAAAUAAGGAAAAUUUCCAGCGCGAAAAUCAGGAAGCGGAGCUGAGCACAUGGCGUUAUUGCAGCGGUGUGAGCGCAGCAAGGCUCCGUUUUCUCUAUCAUUUUGUUCAGACUCUGAUGAUCUUGUAGGAUCUGCUUGACCUUAAAUGAAGGCCUUUCCUUUUUUUUUUUUUUUUUUUUUUUUUGCUGAUGUAUUUAUCCAUUCCCUUGUGAAAAAAAAAAAAGCUGCACUAACACAAUCUGACUUCCUUGUCAAAUUAAUAAAACUGUCUCAUUCUGAAGAGGUUUAUUCCCCUCCCACAAAACAGACGUGGCCUCGGCGUGUUUGCGUCCUGACGCUGGGCGGCCGGGGCUCUGCCCGGUGUCGGUGGCAGGCGCGAGCCCCGUGAGGAUGCCCAUCCGGCGGGAUUUCGGGACCCUGAAGGCACUGGCCUGUUGACCCAACGCUCAGCAGCGGUGAAAGCAUCCCCAAAACGUGAACCCAUAACAGCAGAGCUAACAGCCACGUGUGCAGUGAAACAAGCUAAAAGCCAGCCCAGGUGUGACCAGAGCUGAACUCCCCCCAAAACGCACCCCUUGGAGGGUGCUGCUCAGGGGAAAACGCAGGGAUGGGCACAAAACAGGUGAACCCGAGGCCGAUGCUGUGCAGAAGCGGGGCCGGCCGCGGCGAGCUGAAUCACCCUCCGCUUCCCGGGGACGGGGAGGAUAACAGCUCGCGACGCUGUGGGGCAACUGAAAGGCACGCGGCUGCUGUCAGCGUCCGCGAGGCGCCUUAUUUUGCAAUGGCACUGAAAGCAAGAGCCCUUGUGGGUCUGAUACACUUGUUAUUUCUAGUCCCUCUCCAACAGAUCGCCAUGGGUUUGGAGCAUGCACAGUCCGGGUGGGGUGAGAGAGGCCAGGAGAGAAGGGGGAGAGAAGAUGAGGCCAGGAAAUGGGUCAAUCCUUUGGCAGAGCUGACGACAGCAGACCUUCAGAAAUCACGGCCUGGGCCCGGCACAGCAGCGCGCUGGGCCGCUCCACACCACCCCGGCUCCGGCAGCUUCCUUCUUCCACGGGUCUGCGCUCGGGACCGAGGACACCUGCUUCCCGGCAGCUCGUGA